RNAcentral lists this ribosomal RNA (253 nucleotides) under uncultured bacterium. RNAcentral's name for it is "partial 16S ribosomal RNA". It matches the Rfam family "Bacterial small subunit ribosomal RNA", at positions 524 to 776 of the family's 1533-position model. The record is from RNAcentral.
UACGGGGGGGGCAAGCGUUGUUCGGAAUUACUGGGCGUAAAGGGCUCGUAGGCGGCCAACUAAGUCGGAUGUGAAAUCCCCAGGCUUAACCUGGGAACUGCAUCCGAUACUGGCGGGCUUGAAUCCGGGAGAGGGAUGCGGAAUUCCAGGUGUAGCGGUGAAAUGCGUAGAUAUCUGGAGGAACACCGGUGGCGAAGGCGGCAUCCUGGACCGGCAUUGACGCUGAGGCGCGAAAGCUAGGGGAGCAAACGGG